GGGGAUUUAGUCUAGUGGUAAGAUGUACCUUUAGGGAGUGUAAGGUCUGAGUUCAAUUCACGAAAUCCGCA
RNAcentral lists this transfer RNA (71 nucleotides) under Sorghum bicolor (sorghum). It matches the Rfam family "tRNA". From Rfam's summary of the family: Transfer RNA (tRNA) molecules are approximately 80 nucleotides in length. Their secondary structure includes four short double-helical elements and three loops (D, anti-codon, and T loops). Further hydrogen bonds mediate the characteristic L-shaped molecular structure. tRNAs have two regions of fundamental functional importance: the anti-codon, which is responsible for specific mRNA codon recognition, and the 3' end, to which the tRNAs corresponding amino acid is attached (by aminoacyl-tRNA synthetases). tRNAs cope with the degeneracy of the genetic code in two manners: having more than one tRNA (with a specific anti-codon) for a particular amino acid; and 'wobble' base-pairing, i.e. permitting non-standard base-pairing at the 3rd anti-codon position. Lineage: Eukaryota; Viridiplantae; Streptophyta; Magnoliopsida; Poales; Poaceae. The record is from Rfam by way of RNAcentral.